Molecule: ribosomal RNA, 2301 nt
Filed under: Triticum aestivum (bread wheat)
Lineage: Eukaryota; Viridiplantae; Streptophyta; Magnoliopsida; Poales; Poaceae
Description: partial small subunit ribosomal RNA
Source: RNAcentral
GGUCACAAGGGGGCGUGGAACUGCUGCAGCCCAUCUGUGACAGAGCAGACUCCUGCGAAUUUGCCCAGCUAGGUACAUCCUCUACAUGGUAGCAACUUGAAGAAAAUUCUUCCUUUUUGCUUCCAUUACCUGAUAUCCUCAUCGCUGAUGUAUCGAGGAGCCGUGACCCGGCCUCACAGGAAGGGCCAGGGCGAAGACGUAUCCCCGACGGCCAAGACACGGCCACGGUGGUGAUUUUUGAUGGUGAGACAGAGCAGACUCGAGCGACUUUGCCCAGCCAGGAGCACAUAAAAGAUAAUCAGCGUUUAUUCGCUAGCUGGAAUUAAAGGCAACGGCGAGAGAGCAAGAUCAAGGACAACUUCAAAAUUUAACAAUAUAUGCAAGGUGUUAACGUACUCGCUGGUGUUGGCCUUCUUUCCGCUCCGUUCACAAUUCAUGAAGCUGGAUGGGCUGGUCUUACAGUUCUGUCUGUUUUUGCAAUUAUUUGCUGUUAUACUGGAGUUCUUCUCAAGCAUUGUUUCGAGAGCAAAGACGGUAUUGCAACCUAUCCAGACAUCGGGGAGGCCGCCUUUGGAAGAAUUGGCCGCUUGAUCAUAUCUGCAAGCCCUGGCUUCUGUACAAUAUUCUACUGUGUUUGGCUAUUAUUUUGUAUACUGAGUUAUAUUCAUACUGCAUGGAAUUCAUUAUACUGGAAGGUGAUAAUAUGACAUCAAUCUUUCCUGACGUCAAUAUUAAUUUGUUUGGGAUUCAUGUCGACAGUAAACAUUUCUUUGGAGUGUUAACUGCACUGGUAGUCCUGCCCACAGUAUGGCUGCGAGAUCUGCGAGUGCUAUCAUACCUUUCAGCGGGUGGUGUGAUUGCAACUCUUGUGGUGUUUAUAUCUGUCACUUUAGUCGGCACCACUGAAGGUGUAGGGUUCCAUCAGACCGGGGAAGCAGUAAAGUGGAGUGGCAUGCCCUUUGCUAUUGGUAUUUACGGUUUCUGCUACUCUGGGCAUUCGGUAUUUCCUAAUAUCUACCAAUCAAUGUCUGAUCGCACAAAAUUCCCUAAGGCACUUUUCAUAUGCUUCAUAGUUUGCACAGCGAUAUAUGGCUCGUUCGCUAUUAUUGGCUAUCUCAUGUUUAGUGACAAGACUCUGUCGCAAAUAACUUUGAAUCUUCCAAAAGAGUCAUUUGCCUCGAAAGUUGCUCUGUGGACCACGGUGAUCAACCCUUUCACCAAAUUUGCCUUGUUGUUAAACCCAAUUGGCUCGGAGUUUAGAAGAGUUGCGCCCUGAAGGAUUUUUGAACGAAACAAUCGUCUCUAUUAUACUGAGGACGAGCCUUGUGGCGUCAACUGUUGUCAUUGCAUUUCUUCUUCCAUUAUUCGGUAUGCUUAUACCUUUGUUCAGCACUGAUUAUUUUUGCUAUGCAUUUUUUUAAGAUUGUCAAAUCUUAUGCACAUAGAAUACGACGGAAUCCCGUCGUCUGAAGGUUCCCGCCCUACAUCUUAGCAAUCAACAAAAUAUACGGUAUGCACGAAACAUUAGCAGCAAUCUUGACAUAGUCUUAUACCUGCAUGUAAGGGUAUGAAGUUUGCAUUGUAGUCUCCAACAUUUAUCCCGCCCGUAAGGACUGCAACACAUAAUGCAUUCUGCCACUUCCAGAAAUGGAUGUGAACCAACAUUUAUAACCAAUCCCCGGACACUAUUAUACCUGAUUCCGUCGAGUAGACGUUAUCAACAAUUUCAGCUACGGGUAUGAUGCUCGCAUUGUGUUCUGCAUCACUUCUCCCGCUUGUAAGACCUGGAAGACAUCCUGCAUCCUGUCAUAUAUUCAGGUCUCGCAACUAAACGAAAACAUGGUAGGUUGCAUCAUACCUGUAGUUACGUCAUCUUCAGGUGAAUGUUCGCCAACCGUGCUUUUUGAAUUCCCCAUAUGCAACUAUUGAAUGGCAAAAAUCAUGAAGACAGAAAUGGUAGUUAUUUGAUGACAUUCUGGAAGGGUUAUUGUUCUACAUAUAUACUGCAACUGUUUAGUAUACAUCUCUGUACUUUCUUAGAACGACUCCUGUUUUUGUUCUAUCUUCAGUUCAGCACAAGUGGAAACAUACUCUAGGGUCCUGUAAGGUUUGUGUUUUCUUUUUUGCCAUAUUUAUACAAGUGCAGGAUGCAGGAUACCCCUUGGAAAAAAUUGUUGGCACUUUCAUCUACAUCUUCUACAUCUCUGUAAUUUCUUAGAACGACUCCUGUUUUUGUUCUAUCUUCAGUUCAGCACAAGUGGAAACAUACUCUAGGGUCCUGUAAGGUUUGUGUUUUCUUUU